UCCUCUUUCAUAUUCUGAAUUAAAAUUAUUUUUUGGGUCAUUAUUAAUAUUUUUCAUGAUUUAAUUGAUUUUGUGAAUAUUUUUAAUUGUUUAAAAAUACUUUUAAGUCUUUAAAAAUUCUGAAAUUUUUUCUCCCAGGUCCUUUGAACUUGUUUGACUUAUGAUAAAUCUCAUGGCCAUUUCUUUGGUGUUUUGAUGAGGUUUUAGGAAUUUGACAAACCAUAUUUAAUUUAAAUGCAUUAU
Molecule: long non-coding RNA, 243 nt
Filed under: Lathyrus oleraceus (garden pea)
Lineage: Eukaryota; Viridiplantae; Streptophyta; Magnoliopsida; Fabales; Fabaceae
Description: Pisum sativum (pea) long non-coding RNA (PSAT_LNC029036)
Source: RNAcentral